UGUCGAUGAAGAGCGCAGCCAACUGUGUGAAUUAAUGUGAACUGCCUACUGCUUUGAACAUCGACAUCUUGAACGCAUAUUGCGGCCAUGGGUUUUCCUGUGGCCACGCCUGUCCGAGGGUCGGCUUAUAAACUAUCACGACGCCCAAAAAGUCGUGGCUUGGGUCUUGCCAGCUGGCGUGAUUUCCCUGUGCUAUUGUGUAGGGUGCCAGAUCUAUGGCUUUUCCCUAAUGUGCCGGACGCAACCAUAUCUGGGCUGACUGCCUAGGUGAGGGAGUGGCGGCGGAGUCGUGGCUCAAUGAUAUUGUACGUGGUAAAUGUGCGCGCUCCGUUGUCUGUUCUUCAUCCUGGGUUGAGGCUUUGUCUAUGGCAAUGCAUCUGUUGUUGUUUGUUUUGCACUCCUGUGCUUGACCUCCCUGACCUCGGAUCAGACGUGAAU
This 438-nucleotide unclassified non-coding RNA is filed under the name Metagonimus yokogawai. RNAcentral describes it as "partial contains 5.8S rRNA, ITS2 and 28S RNA". The stretch from base 3 to 123 matches the Rfam family "5.8S ribosomal RNA", at positions 33 to 154 of the family's 154-position model. Lineage: Eukaryota; Metazoa; Platyhelminthes; Trematoda; Opisthorchiida; Heterophyidae. The record is from RNAcentral.